AAAUUGAAGAGUUUGAUCAUGGCUCAGAUUGAACGCUGGCGGCAGGCCUAACACAUGCAAGUCGAACGGUAACAGGAAACAGCUUGCUGUUUCGCUGACGAGUGGCGGACGGGUGAGUAAUGUCUGGGAAACUGCCUGAUGGAGGGGGAUAACUACUGGAAACGGUAGCUAAUACCGCAUAAUGUCGCAAGACCAAAGAGGGGGACCUUCGGGCCUCUUGCCAUCGGAUGUGCCCAGAUGGGAUUAGCUAGUAGGUGGGGUAACGGCUCACCUAGGCGACGAUCCCUAGCUGGUCUGAGAGGAUGACCAGCCACACUGGAACUGAGACACGGUCCAGACUCCUACGGGAGGCAGCAGUGGGGAAUAUUGCACAAUGGGCGCAAGCCUGAUGCAGCCAUGCCGCGUGUAUGAAGAAGGCCUUCGGGUUGUAAAGUACUUUCAGCGGGGAGGAAGGGAGUAAAGUUAAUACCUUUGCUCAUUGACGUUACCCGCAGAAGAAGCACCGGCUAACUCCGUGCCAGCAGCCGCGGUAAUACGGAGGGUGCAAGCGUUAAUCGGAAUUACUGGGCGUAAAGCGCACGCAGGCGGUUUGUUAAGUCAGAUGUGAAAUCCCGGGCUCAACCCGAACUGCAUCUGAUACUGGCAAGCUUGAGUCUCGUAGAGGGGGGUAGAAUUCCAGGUGUAGCGGUGAAAUGCGUAGAGAUCUGGAGGAAUACCGGUGGCGAAGGCGGCCCCCUGGACGAAGACUGACGCUCAGGUGCGAAAGCGUGGGGAGCAAACAGGAUUAGAUACCCUGGUAGUCCACGCCGUAAACGAUGUCGACUUGGAGGUUGUGCCCUUGAGGCGUGGCUUCCGGAGCUAACGCGUUAAGUCGACCGCCUGGGGAGUACGGCCGCAAGGUUAAAACUCAAAUGAAUUGACGGGGGCCCGCACAAGCGGUGGAGCAUGUGGUUUAAUUCGAUGCAACGCGAAGAACCUUACCUGGUCUUGACAUCCACGGAAGUUUUCAGAGAUGAGAAUGUGCCUUCGGGAACCGUGAGACAGGUGCUGCAUGGCUGUCGUCAGCUCGUGUUGUGAAAUGUUGGGUUAAGUCCCGCAACGAGCGCAACCCUUAUCCUUUGUUGCCAGCGGUCCUACUGGGAACUCAAAGGAGACUGCCAGUGAUAAACUGGAGGAAGGUGGGGAUGACGUCAAGUCAUCAUGGCCCUUACGACCGUGGCUACACACGUGCUACAAUGGCGCAUACAAAGAGAAGCGACCUCGCGAGAGCAAGCGGACCUCAUAAAGUGCGUCGUAGUCCGGAUUGAGUCUGCAACUCGACUCCAUGAAGUCGGAAUCGCUAGUAAUCGUGGAUCAGAAUGCCACGGUGAAUACGUUCCCGGGCCUUGUACACACCGCCCGUCACACCAUGGGAGUGGGUUGCAAAAGAAGUAGGUAGCUUAACCUUCGGGAGGGCGCUUACCACUUUGUGAUUCAUGACUGGGGUGAAGUCGUAACAAGGUAACCGUAGGGGAACCUGCGGUUGGAUCACCUCCUUACCUUAAAGAA
RNAcentral lists this ribosomal RNA (1548 nucleotides) under Escherichia coli. Its description in RNAcentral is "bacterial SSU rRNA". It matches the Rfam family "Bacterial small subunit ribosomal RNA". Lineage: Bacteria; Pseudomonadati; Pseudomonadota; Gammaproteobacteria; Enterobacterales; Enterobacteriaceae. The record is from RNAcentral.